This 117-nucleotide ribosomal RNA is filed under the name Pteropus alecto (black flying fox). Lineage: Eukaryota; Metazoa; Chordata; Mammalia; Chiroptera; Pteropodidae. The record is from RNAcentral.
GUCUACAGCCAUGCCACUCUGAACAAGCCCAAUGUCUGAUCUCUGAAGCUAAGCAGGGUCUGGGCCUGGUUAGUACUUGGAUGGGAGACCACAUAGGAAGAUCAGGUGCUAUAGGCA